UAUUAAAAACCUCAUCCAUUUCAACUAUUAAAAAUUAGUGUGGCUGAUAGAAUAACUAAAUAGUUACACAUGGCAUGCCAUGUGUAUCGUAUUUUGACAUAUAGGGACCAAUUUUUAACAAUAAAAAUAGAUAAAAUUAUUAACG
This is a microRNA precursor of Gossypium arboreum, 145 nucleotides long. It matches the Rfam family "MIR7502 microRNA precursor family". NCBI's taxonomy places the organism in Eukaryota, Viridiplantae, Streptophyta, Magnoliopsida, Malvales, Malvaceae. The record is from Rfam.